UUAAGCAUCCUCUGGGCUCCUCAGGUGCUUUAAAUACCACAGUGUACACAGCCCUCAGAGAGGAUAAAGAAUGUUCAUAAAGUAGCACUUCCAAGUGAUUCUUUUUUUCUGUUACAGCCAUCUUUUGAUCUCAGGGCUGAGGAGAGAAACCCAGAAGAGGCAACAUCCUGUCUCCAAGCACCUGCAGGCCAUACCAGGAAGGAGCAAGCUGCGCUAAGGGGAGGUGGUGAUGACACGCUGGAGUAUAACAGAAGGUGUAAUGAAUAAAACAUGUCAUUUAAGCUCAAUGUUGAGGAUUGAAAAGGUGCCUGGACUCAGAAAUAGACCAUGAGGGGGAUACUUCCAAAGAAACACAUUCCUCUGCUUCAGACUCAGGAUCCUGGCAGGUGAGCUAAGAACGAAUGUUUUAACGGGGGCGCCUGGAGCGAGUCAGGCAUGUUUCAGUUGGAGAAGGACUGCUUUUGGACCACUCUACUGUUAUCUCCACGACUGCGACAAACAGC
This is a long non-coding RNA of Ochotona princeps (American pika), 503 nucleotides long. RefSeq lists it as uncharacterized. Lineage: Eukaryota; Metazoa; Chordata; Mammalia; Lagomorpha; Ochotonidae. The transcript has 3 exons. The record is from RefSeq and is a predicted model, not a curated record.